Molecule: ribosomal RNA, 777 nt
Filed under: uncultured archaeon
Lineage: Archaea
Description: bacterial SSU rRNA
Rfam family: Archaeal small subunit ribosomal RNA
Source: RNAcentral
AACACAUGAUCAACUUACCCUAUAGUGAAAAAUAACCUCGGGAAACUGAGGAUAAUGUUUCAUAGUUGAAAAGGCUUGGAAAAGUUUUUCAAUGAAAGGAAAAGAAAAAUGGUUUUUUUCCGCUAUAGGAUAGGAUCGUGCUCGAUUAUGGUUGUUGGUGAGGUAACGGCUCACCAAGCCGAUAAUCGAUAGGGGCCGUGAGAGCGGGUGCCCCGAGAUGGGUACUGAGACAACGACCCAGGCCUUACGAGGCGCAGCAGGCGCGAAACCUCCGCAAUACACGAAAGUGUGACGGGGUUACCCAAAGUGUUCAAUCUUGAACUGUGGUAGGUGAGUAAUGUCCCCUACUAGAAAGGAGAGGGCAAGGCUGGUGCCAGCCGCCGCGGUAAAACCAGCUCUUCAAGUGGUCGGGAUAAUUAUUGGGCUUAAAGUGUCCGUAGCCGGUUUAGCAAGUUCCUGGUAAAAUCGGGUAGCUUAACUAUCUGUAUGCUAGGAAUACUGUUAUACUAGAGGGCGGGAGAGGUCUGAGGUACUACAGGGGUAGGGGUGAAAUCUUAUAAUCCUUGUAGGACCACCAGUGGCGAAGGCGUCAGACUGGAACGUGCCUGACGGUGAGGGACGAAAGCCAGGGGAGCGAACCGGAUUAGAUACCCGGGUAGUCCUGGCCGUAAACGAUGCAUACUAGGUGAUGGCAUGGCCAUGAGCCGUGUCAGUGCCGUAGGGAAACCGUUAAGUGUGCCGCCUGGGAAGUACGGUCGCAAGGCUAAAACUUAAAGG